AAUGGGCGCAAGCCUGAUCCAGCAAUGCCGCGUGAGUGAAGAAGGCCUUCGGGUUGUAAAGCUCUUUCGGACGGAAAGAAAUCGGUGGGGUGAAUAAUCCUGCUGGAUGACGGUACCGUAAGAAGAAGCACCGGCUAACUACGUGCCAGCAGCCGCGGUAAUACGUAGGGUGCGAGCGUUAAUCGGAAUUACUGGGCGUAAAGCGUGCGCAGGCGGCGCUGUAAGACAGGUGUGAAAUCCCCGGGCUUAACCUGGGAAUGGCGCUUGUGACUGCAGUGCUCGAGUGCGGCAGAGGGGGGUGGAAUUCCACGUGUAGCAGUGAAAUGCGUAGAGAUGUGGAGGAACACCGAUGGCGAAGGCAGCCCCCUGGGUCGACACUGACGCUCAUGCACGAAAGCGUGGGGAGCAAA
RNAcentral lists this ribosomal RNA (410 nucleotides) under uncultured bacterium. RNAcentral's name for it is "bacterial SSU rRNA". It matches the Rfam family "Bacterial small subunit ribosomal RNA", at positions 370 to 772 of the family's 1533-position model. The record is from RNAcentral.